This 243-nucleotide ribosomal RNA is filed under the name Triticum aestivum (bread wheat). RNAcentral's name for it is "partial small subunit ribosomal RNA". Lineage: Eukaryota; Viridiplantae; Streptophyta; Magnoliopsida; Poales; Poaceae. The record is from RNAcentral.
AUGGAGCAGUUGAACUUAGAGGAUGAAGUCUUUGAUGAUCGGGUAAUCAAUGAGAACGACCCGGAUAUCAAUGAGAGCGUCAGGUGGCUAGCCCUAGCUAGGGUUCACAAGGACAAAACCUUCAGCCCGACGGCCUUCUACAAGGAGAUGCGGGCGGCGUGGAAUCCUGCACAACAUGUGAAUUUCCGUCCGGUUGGCCCGAACAUGUUCGUUGUUCAGGCCGCGUGCCUUGGUGACUGGGAA